This 229-nucleotide RNase MRP RNA is filed under the name Theileria orientalis strain Shintoku. Its description in RNAcentral is "RNase MRP". It matches the Rfam family "RNase MRP". From Rfam's summary of the family: RNase MRP is an enzymatically active ribonucleoprotein with two distinct roles in eukaryotes. In mitochondria it plays a direct role in the initiation of mitochondrial DNA replication. Lineage: Eukaryota; Apicomplexa; Aconoidasida; Piroplasmida; Theileriidae. The record is from Rfam by way of RNAcentral.
GGUCUGGUCGAGAAGCUGCUUCGUAGUAUAUAAACGGUUCAUCCACUAAGCUAUGGGGAAAGUCUCUGUGCAAAUAUCGCCGAAAGGGCGCCCGGGAAACCCGCCGAGGCCCAGAGCUCCUAUCUGUGCGUAGUACUUUAGGAGCCCUGAGUCGCUCCCGCCGUUUCAGCAUUAGAUAAUGCAGCUGAUGCCUAGCAUUUACAAGAUAGAGCUUAUCCGCGAACCAGAC